AUAGCGGAGGAAAAGAAACCAACCGGGAUUGCCUCAGUAACGGCGAGUGAAGCGGCAAAAGCUCAAAUUUGAAAUCUGGCGUCUUUUGGCGUCCGAGUUGUAAUUUGAAGAACGGUUCCUGCGUUUGCGCACUUGUCUAUGUUCCUUGGAACAGGACGUCAGAGAGGGUGAGAAUCCCGUUCGAUGGGUGCGCGUUCGCUUGUGGAGCCAGUUCGACGAGUCGAGUUGUUUGGGAAU
This 237-nucleotide ribosomal RNA is filed under the name uncultured fungus. RNAcentral describes it as "partial 26S ribosomal RNA". It matches the Rfam family "Eukaryotic large subunit ribosomal RNA", at positions 47 to 281 of the family's 3401-position model. Lineage: Eukaryota; Fungi. The record is from RNAcentral.